AUUGAACGCUGGCGGCAGGCCUAACACAUGCAAGUCGAACGGUAGCACAGAGAGCUUGCUCUCGGGUGACGAGUGGCGGACGGGUGAGUAAUGUCUGGGAAACUGCCCGAUGGAGGGGGAUAACUACUGGAAACGGUAGCUAAUACCGCAUAACGUCGCAAGACCAAAGUGGGGGACCUUCGGGCCUCACACCAUCGGAUGUGCCCAGAUGGGAUUAGCUAGUAGGUGGGGUAAUGGCUCACCUAGGCGACGAUCCCUAGCUGGUCUGAGAGGAUGACCAGCCACACUGGAACUGAGACACGGUCCAGACUCCUACGGGAGGCAGCAGUGGGGAAUAGUGCACAAUGGGCGCAAGCCUGAUGCAGCCAUGCCGCGUGUAUGAAGAAGGCCUUCGGGUUGUAAAGUACUUUCAGCGGGGAGGAAGGCGGUGAAGUUAAUAACUUCACCGAUUGACGUUACUCGCAGAAGAAGCACCGGCUAACUCCGUGCCAGCCGCCGCGGUAA
RNAcentral lists this ribosomal RNA (504 nucleotides) under uncultured bacterium. RNAcentral's name for it is "partial 16S ribosomal RNA". It matches the Rfam family "Bacterial small subunit ribosomal RNA", at positions 30 to 523 of the family's 1533-position model. The record is from RNAcentral.